AAAAAUAAAACAGAUGUCAGCCUGUGUAUGAAGAAUUCAUCCACAAGAUUUGCUCACUCUUCAAUUAUUUCCCGAGCAAAACCAAGAAUCUUCUUGGGCUAAGCCCCAAUUUGGGGUUCACCUGCCUUGCAGCAACAUGGCACCAAACAUGGGGCAGAAGAGAGAAAACGACAGCAUGAGAGACGGAGAAAGAAAUGGCAGUUGGCAAGGUGGUAAUGAGAGACAGCAGUUGGCAAGACAGUGAGAGACAGCAAGAGAUGGCAAGUGACAGUUAUUGUUAAGAUGACAAAUGGAGAGAUGGCAAGAAAUAGAGAAGCAGUCAGUGAUGGAGGCUGCAAGAGUUGUAACACUAACCAAAGGCUCUUUUUAGAAUCAUCAUUUUCCCUGGCAGGUGGUACAGCCAAGCAGACAGGCAAGUGGCCAUACUGCUGCUGCCUCAUGUAGGAUCCGGCAGGCUGGUGGGUUAUCAGUCCUCACGUGGGACCCUCCCACCAUGGCAGCUGAGCACAUCCAAGCUGGGGGAUCCUGAAGAGACCUUCACCUGGGUGCCACGUGGAAGAUUGGCCAGCACCAUUUUGACUCCUGUGGAUGGUUCCAGGUAAAGACAAUCCUUGCACAAGGCUUCCAACUC
This 631-nucleotide long non-coding RNA is filed under the name Pan troglodytes (chimpanzee). Its description in RNAcentral is "long non-coding RNA NONPTRT000235". The record is from RNAcentral. Lineage: Eukaryota; Metazoa; Chordata; Mammalia; Primates; Hominidae.